Molecule: ribosomal RNA, 526 nt
Filed under: uncultured bacterium
Lineage: Bacteria
Description: partial 16S ribosomal RNA
Rfam family: Bacterial small subunit ribosomal RNA
Source: RNAcentral
UGGGGAAUAUUGGACAAUGGGGGCAACCCUGAUCCAGCAAUGCCGCGUGUGUGAAGAAGGUCUUCGGAUUGUAAAGCACUUUCGACGGGGACGAUGAUGACGGUACCCGUAGAAGAAGCCCCGGCUAACUUCGUGCCAGCAGCCGCGGUAAUACGAAGGGGGCUAGCGUUGCUCGGAAUGACUGGGCGUAAAGGGCGUGUAGGCGGUUUACACAGUCAGAUGUGAAAUCCCCGGGCUUAACCUGGGAGCUGCAUUUGAUACGUGUAGACUAGAGUGUGAGAGAGGGUUGUGGAAUUCCCAGUGUAGAGGUGAAAUUCGUAGAUAUUGGGAAGAACACCGGUGGCGAAGGCGGCAACCUGGCUCAUGACUGACGCUGAGGCGCGAAAGCGUGGGGAGCAAACAGGAUUAGGAUACCCUGGUAGUCCACGCUGUAAACGAUGUGUGCUAGAUGUUGGGUAACUUUGUUAUUCAGUGUCGCAGUUAACGCGUUAAGCACACCGCCUGGGGAUACGGCCGCAAGGUUGAA